Molecule: transfer RNA, 73 nt
Filed under: Marmota monax (woodchuck)
Lineage: Eukaryota; Metazoa; Chordata; Mammalia; Rodentia; Sciuridae
Description: tRNA.Ala
Source: RNAcentral
UGGGGUUUUGGCUCAGUGGUAGAGCGCUUGCUUAGCACAUGCAAGGCCCUGGGUUCAAUCCUCAGCACCACAU